This is a long non-coding RNA of Esox lucius (northern pike), 4615 nucleotides long. The record is from Ensembl. Lineage: Eukaryota; Metazoa; Chordata; Actinopteri; Esociformes; Esocidae.
GAAACAUGUAAACGAUGUUAGGACACAAUAAAUUCUUACUCUUUAGUUACCACAUUGCAUUUAUUACCAAUGCAAGUAACAGAUUUUAAGUCAAAAAUCAUGUAUAGGGACAAGACAUCAUCAACCAAAAAUGUCAUUUAAACUAGAUACACUGAUAUAAAAUCAAUAUUACAAGACUGUUGAGAUGAUUGUGUGAUUAAGUCAUUUUUGAUGCAAUCAGAAUCUCGACAUUGUAUUAAAUGCUUCAUUGAUUUUGCAGAUUUCUUCUCUGAUUGCCUCAUUUAUAGCAUCUGCCCAGUACCCAACCAUUUAACCUUCUCCCUCGUUGCUUCCCGCAGCAUCUUGAGCAACAAAAUACAUUAACAAGAAUGAAAUAAAUGAAAAAACAAAUGAAAUGAGUGAAUCUACCCAUUAUAUUUUAACAGUGGCCUCGCAGAAAACUUUUCCUAUCAUUUCUUUCUUGUACUCCACAAUUAUCUUUCAUUUAAUUUUCUUUAGAAUAAAACAGAUAUUUUCUCCAGAUGAUGGCAAACAAAGGUAACAGGGAGUGAUUUUAAAGUGUUUAUUAAAAAUUGAUUGUUUCUUUUGUCGUAACGUUAAAGGCUGCAGACACUAUGUCUUGGCCAUGAGUUAGACAGAAGGACAGCCGACUUCUUUAGUGGUAUAGCUUGGAGCAUAUUUAUCAAACAUUUGCACUACAAUACGAAAAAAACAGUCUUUCCUCACAAAUGUUCUAUCGCCUCUUUUGUCCCUUGUCUCCAUAGAACACUUUCCUCUAUGCUAACUAGCUGGGAUAACAGUCAGUUUUCCAGGCAUUGGCUGGUUCUUUUGCCGGUGUGCUGCCAAACCGCAGUAAGCUGGUGUUAUCUGUGUGAGAGGCUAAACACGGCACUUACUAUCCACUCAGGUUGCCAGUCAGACUGCCUGUCUUUCUUAGAACUGGCCAGACCUGAUUUCCAGCUAACUGUCUAGCUAGCUUAUGUUCCAACCAGCCGCCUGGAUUGCAGGGCAGGACUGGUGUCUUGGAAGUGGCCGGACGUUAUUUUUAUGUUGGCUCCUCGGAGGCUAGAGAAUAUUGAUCCGUUCCAAUUUUCGGGUUUAAGAAAUGUUUUAAUAGGCAAAGUGAUGCUGAGAUGUAGGUCAUGAGGGUGAGUCAGGGGACUAAGAUAGGAGGGUGAGUGAGGGUACUAAGAGAGGAGGGUGAGUCAGGGUACUAAGAUAGGAGGGUGAGUCAGGGUACUAAGAUUAGAGGGCAAGUCAGGAUACUAAGAUUAGAGGACGAGUCAGGGUACUAAAAUAGGAGGGUGAGCCAGGAUACUAAGAGAGGAAGGGUGAGUCAGGGUACUAAGACUAGAGGGUGAGUCAGGGUACUAAGAUAGGAGGGUGAGUCAGGGGACUAAAAUAGGAGGGUGAGUCAGGGUACUAAAAUAGGAGGGUGAGUCAGGGUACUAAAAUUAGAGGGUGAGUCAGAGGACUAAGAUAGGAGGGUGAGUCAGGGUACUAAGAUUAGAGGGUGAGUCAGGGUACUAAAAUAGGAGGGUGAGUCAGGGGACUAAAAUAGAAGGGUGAGUCAGGGGACUAAGAUUGGAGGGUGAGUCAGGGGACUAAGAUAGGAGGGUGAGUCUGGGUUCUAAGAUAAGAGGGUGAGUCAGGGGACUAAGAUAGGAGGGUGAGUCAGGGGACUAAGAUGGGAAGGUGAGUCAGGAUACUAAGAUAGGAGGGUGAGUCAGGGUACUAAGAUAAGAGGGUGAGUCAGGGUACUAAAAUAGGAGGGUGAGUCAGGAUACUAAGAGAGGAAGGGUGAGUCAGGGUACUAAGAUUAGAGGGCGAGUCAGGGUACUAAGAGAGGAGGGUGAGCCAGGGGACUAAGAUAGGAGGGUGAGUCAGGGUACUAAAAUAGGAGGGUGAGUCAGGGUACUAAAAUUAGAGGGCGAGUCAGGGUACUAAGAUUAGAGGGCGAGUCAGGGUACUAAGAUUAGAGGGCGAGUCAGGGUACUAAGAUUAGAGGGCGAGUCAGAGUACUAAGAGAGGAGGGUGAGCCAGGGGACUAAGAUAGGAGGGUGAGUCAGGGGACUAAAAUAGGAGGGUGAGUCAGAGGACUAAGAUAGGAGGGUGAGUCAGGGUACUAAAAUAGGAGGGUGAGUCAGGGGACUAAAAUAGGAGGGUGAGUCAGGGGACUAAGAUUGGAGGGUAUGUCAGGGUACUAAGAUAGGAGAGCGAGUCAGGGGACUAAGAUAGGAGGGUGAGUCAGGGGACUAAGAUAGGAGGGUGAGUCAGGGGACUAAGAUAGGAGGGUGAGUCAGGGGACUAAGAUAGGAGGGUGAGUCAGGAUACUAAGAUAGGAGGGUGAGUCAGAGGACUAAGAUAGGAGGGUGAGUCAGGGGACUAAAAUAGGAGGGUGAGUCAGGGUACUAAAAUUAGAGGGCGAGUCAGGGUACUAAGAUUAGAGGGCGAGUCAGGGUACUAAGAUUAGAGGACGAGUUAGGAUACUAAGAUUAGAGGGCGAGUCAGGGUACUAAGAGAGGAGGCUGAGCCAGGGGACUAAGAUAGGAGGGUGAGUCAGGGUACUAAGAUUAGAGGGUGAGUCAGGGUACUAAAAUAGGAGGGUGAGUAAGGGGGCUAAAAUAGAAGGGUGAGUCAGGGGACUAAGAUUGGAGGGUGAGUCAGGGGACUAAGAUAGGAGGGUGAGUCUGGGUUCUAAGAUAAGAGGGUGAGUCAGGAUACUAAGAUAGGAGGGUGAGUCAGGGUUCUAAGAUAGGAGGGUGAGUCAGGGGACUAAGAUGGGAAGGUGAGUCAGGAUACUAAGAUAGGAGGGUGAGUCAGAGGACUAAGAUAGGAGGGUGAGUCAGGGGACUAAGAUAGGAGGGUGAAUCAGGGUUCUAAGAUAAGAGGGUGAGUCAGGAUACUAAGAUAGGAGGGUGAGUCAGAGGACUAAGAUAGGAGGGUGAGUCAGGGUUAUAAGAUAAGAGGGUGAGUCAGGGGACUAAGAUAGGAGGGUGAGUCAGGGUUCUAAGAUAAGAGGGUGAGUAAGGGGACUAAGAUUAGAGGGUGAGUCAGGGGACUAAGAUAGGAAGGUGAGUCAGGAUACUAAGAUAGGAGGGUGAGUCAGGGUUCUAAGAUGGGAGGGUGAGUCAGGGGACUAAGAUGGGAGGGUGAGUCAGGGGACUAAGAUAAGAGGGUGAGUCAGGAUAUUAAGAUAGGAGGGUGAGUCAGGGUUAUAAGAUAAGAGGGUGAGUCAGGGGACUAAGAUAGGAGGGUGAGUCAGGGUUCUAAGAUGGGAGGGUGAGUCAGGGUUCUAAGAUAAGAGGGUGAGUCAGGGUUCUAAGAUGGGAGAUGGUUUAGAUCAAUGAUUCUCAGAGAUCUUACUUUGCAUACCACCUCACUGAAUAAAUAUCAACUAAAGGGAGCACCGCGUACCACCAGGGGUACACGUACCAUAGUUUGAGAACCAGUGGUUUAGAUGACAAGUAUGGACAUUAGGUGACAUUAGGUGACAUUAGGUGACAUUAGGUGACAUUAGGGGAGGUGCUUGGGGGAGGACAGGAAGCCUGUCUAGGAGCCCUGAUGGUCAAUGACAUUUUCUGUACGGUACUUUCGCCCUGCAUCGCAAAUCCACUGGCGCUUAUCGUAAUGACGGACUGCCAGCCGGCCAGACCAGCGCCUGUCUGUCAAUCACAGGUCUCCAUGGUGAUCCAGGGACAUUCCUCCAUGACACUCAUCAUACUGGAUACUCUGGAGAGAGAGAGAAACAGAUGAGAUGGACUCAGCGAGACAGACAUCUAAAGGUCAGCAGUCAGUCAGUACAGAAGUCACAGCUAUAUUCAUCUUCCCCGGUUUCUUCUGAUCUAGAGAUAGAGUGCACAGAGAGGCAGGCUGUGGGUUGGGAAGGACUGGCCCAGGAUGGAGCUCAGAGAGGCAGGCUGUGGGUUGGGAAGGACUGGCCCAGGAUGGAGCUCAGAGAGGCAGGCUGUGGGUUGGGAAGGACUGGCCCAGGAUGGAGCUCAGAGAGGCAGGCUGUGGGUUGGGAAGGACUGGCCCAGGAUGGAGCUCAGAGAAGCAGGCUGUGGGUUGGGAAGGACUGGCCCAGGAUGGAACUCAGAGAAGCAGGCUGUGGGUUGGGAAGGACUGGCCCAAGAUCACACGCCAUCUGGUCUCCAACCAGAUGAUAGAUACUCUGGACUUAUUUACUGCUUAUUUACAACUCAUGUACAGUCAUUCUUCCUACCAUGCUUAAAGUGAACACACACACAUGUACACACACACACACAAACGCACACACACACCACUGCCACGAUGAUGUGGAUUUGGGCAAAUAUGUGAAUUUCCCAAUCACUUGAGAGGUUAUCAGCAUAUUAACACAUGAACAGGAUUAAUCCCAUUUCACCUUCCUCUGCUAAAUAGUCUCAAAAGCUGACAACCAUCUAUUGGCCUCGAAAACAAAUAGAGUGGCGUUAUCAUAAUCAUUAAAGGCUACUUAUCCCAGCCGGCUGAGAAGACAUCCUUCACAGGGCACAAUCUCACGUCAUCUAAAUGACCCAGGAUUGUUGAUCACUUGACCUCACAAAGGUCAGAGGUCAUGGGGUCAAACAGCUAUCAGUGAGGUGCAGGGUUGCAG